GUGCUUCGGCGAUGCCGUUCAACAGUGCCACUCCCCCCGCGAGCGAGGUGUUCGACGAAAUGGCCGGAAGGUAUGCGUCUUCGGUCUUGGCGAUUUCCUUUCAUUUCCGCCAUUAUUCUCGAUAGCUCGUGACUUGUUAUCGUUCGUUAUAGCGGUGGUUCGAACAAUGCAACAAUCGAGUUCGUGAACUUGUUGGACACGAACACGGUUGACAUUGAUCAAGCCCCUUUCGAGCCGUUCGACUAUAAUGAAACGGAGGGCGGCGUGGAUGAUCAUUGUUGUGCGGACGGAUUGGAGGAGAUCGAAGCGGAAGCGUAUGAGCAAUCGCAAGAAAAAUCUGGGAAAAGCCAAAGAUCGAAGAACUACACGAUCUUGGAAAGAUCAAGCUUUGAUUCAAGCAUGGAGUGCGGUGUCUCUUGAUGCAUGCACGGGCAUUUCUCAAACUUCCAAGAGAUAUUGGCAAAGAAUCGAAGAUCAAUACUUCCGCAUUAUGGCAAAGCAUCCCAAUAGGACUCCACGCACAUUUCGGUCGCUUCAAGGGCGUUGGGAGAACAUCAAGCCUAUGUGCAGCUUGCUUGGAGCAAGUACGCAAUGCACCUUCAAGUGGCACCGUGGAGUCCGACUAUGACAAGAUUGCUCAACAUAGAUACAAGGACAUGGAAGCUUCGGAAGGCAGAUUUUUCAAACUAGAGCAUUGUUGGGAGUUGCUCCAAAAGUGCGAGAAGUGGAAGUUGAUCGAUAAAGAAUCCCCACCAAAGAGAGGCUCACUUACAAACAUGGAUGAAUAUGAGGAUGAUGAUGGCCCAAGAAAUUUGCACAAGCCCGAUGGCGACAAAAAGACUAAGGAGAAGAUCAAGAGAGAGUAAGAAGCAUCGAGCUUGAGGGAGAAGAUUGACGCCAUGGUGCAAUCCAACGAGUCGAUGUUGUUGAAGUCGUUGGAGAUCAAGAAAGAAUUGGCCGAGAAGAAGGCGAAGGAGAAGCAAGAAGAGUGGCAAUUGCUUAAGGAAGAGGGGCUGCGCAAAGCUGCCAUCGAGGAGAGAAGAGCACGCGCCGCUGAAAACAAAUCCAUGUCCAUGUUGCUCGCCGAAGAGAACAAGAUCAUGUCAAUGAACCGCAAUGACAUAGACGACCUCACCAAAACAUGACAUGAUAUGGCAAGGAAAGAAAUCUUGAAGAGGAGAAUGGUCGCGUCGGCCGGUCCGUGUUACAGUUCCGGUGAUGUUUUCUCUGCUCCAUAUGGUGGCAAUGUGGAUGAUUUCAGUGCGGGAAUUGGGACAAGCGCCGGAGGUGGAUUCGGUGGCGCCGAUGAACUUCAAGAUGGACUCGAUGGCGCGGAGUGAAGAUCGACCAAGAUGAUGCCGGACAUGGGCACAAACCUUUGCAGGACCCUCUUUUGCGUUUGCCGUAAUGAACUUGGCUUUUAUUUGCGCGUAAAACUGUUUAUGUCGUUUGAAUUUGAACUUGUUUGUGAAACCCUAUGUCAAAUGUGAGAUUUGUUGUUUUUC
This is a long non-coding RNA of Triticum dicoccoides, 1505 nucleotides long. RefSeq lists it as uncharacterized. The transcript has 2 exons. The record is from RefSeq and is a predicted model, not a curated record. NCBI's taxonomy places the organism in Eukaryota, Viridiplantae, Streptophyta, Magnoliopsida, Poales, Poaceae.